RNAcentral lists this long non-coding RNA (1284 nucleotides) under Marmota monax (woodchuck). The record is from RNAcentral. Lineage: Eukaryota; Metazoa; Chordata; Mammalia; Rodentia; Sciuridae.
GCUAAGUGUCCCCUCGAUGGGAUUCGGUCUACACAGGGUCAUUCAUGAUGCCUUCUUACUAAAGGCCUCUAGAGCUGGUUUUCACUUAUAAGAAAUUCAGGGUGUAGACAGUUAAAAAGCACCAUGAAGAAAUGGAAAGCCGGGUCCCCUUUGUGGAACAUUCUUGAGGACAAGAAGUCAGUGGCGGGGAAGACUACUCGGGAUCAGAAGAAAUCCAGAGAAAAACCACGGUGUGCAGUGUGGAUCCUGCUUGGAUUUUGAUUCCAACAAACACAUUUUGAAAGGAGUCGUAGUGGGGUUCAAUAGGGAUACCUCAUAAGAAGGUAGCCAGAGUCAUUAACUUCUUCAGGAGUGAUCACAGCACUGCAGUUAUGUGAGAAAAUGUCUGUUUUUAGAGAUGCAUGGAAAGUACGUAGAGAUGGGUGUGCAACGUGGUGUCAGGGACUUGAUUUAAGAUAUUUCAACAACAGCAAGAAAGGAAAAAAAUAGCCAGGUCCCUUCCUCCGCUCCCCCACAAUCUGCUCCUCCUUGUGCCCCACUCUCUCAGUCAGCAUCGGUGACUCCUCUGCUAAAGUCAGAAACCUUAGGAUCAUUCCUGAGUCUCAUGGCCCUUGCCUUUCACAUCCCAGUAAUAUGAAGAUCUGCAAUACAAUCGGCCCCAGUAAAAUCAAACACGGAUCCAACCCUGGGAUCUAAAGAGGUCACCAAGCCCCAAGCAGGAUGAAUGAAAAGAAAACCACAUCUGAGCACUUCAUUGUCAAAUUGCUGAAAACCAAAGAUAAUUAAAAGCAGCCAAGUAGAAAAGACAUUUUUAUAGUGCUAAAAAGAAAAAUAAAGUCCAUUUUGUAGGUCUCCGUGUUCUACCAGUUUGGAUUAUGUAUCUUUCCCGGUGUUUCCAUGGGGUGCUCUACUUCUUUUAUGCAGUAGUUGCUUAAUUGUUGCUCUCCUCCUCUUUGACUGUAAGAUACUAUGUGUAUCUUGUGACCUGCUUAACAUUGAUUGUACCCUCCGCCCUCAGCAUGGUAAGUUUGCUCAAUUGCUAUUUGCUAAGUGAAUGGAAGGCCACAUUUAUUUUUUUAGAUACUGGCUGUAUCAAUAAGAAAUGUGAAAUAGACUAAAAUUAUUUAGGAACAAUUAUGUGUAUACUAUACAUAAGCUAAACCUAAAAAGGAAAAAAAAAGAUUUAAUAACUAUAUUCUACAAUUAAGUAAUGUUUACAUUCCACAAAAAUACUAAUUUGGGAGCAUUGAUAAAAGCAACCGCUUGGAUUAAGGCAAUACUCAA